RNAcentral lists this ribosomal RNA (589 nucleotides) under uncultured bacterium. RNAcentral describes it as "partial 16S ribosomal RNA". It matches the Rfam family "Bacterial small subunit ribosomal RNA", at positions 355 to 1376 of the family's 1533-position model. The record is from RNAcentral.
UGGGGAAUCUUCCGCAAUGGACGAAGGUCUGACGGAGCAACGCCGCGUGAGUGAAGAAGGUUUUCGGAUCGUAAAACUCUGUCUUUUGGGGCGAACGUGAGUAUGGUGAACAAUCAUAGUCAGUGACGGUACCAAAGGAGGAAGCCACGGCUAACUACGUGCCAGCAGCCGCGGUAAUACGUAGGUGGCAAGCGUUGUCCGGAAUUAUUGGGCGUAAAGAGCGCGUAGGCGGGAUAGUCAGUCUGUUGUAAAAGUGCGGGGCUCAACCCCGUGAUGGCAAUGGAAACAGCUAUUCUUGAGUGCAGGAGAGGAAAGUGGAAUUCCCAGUGUAGCGGUGAAAUGCGUAGAUAUUGGGAGGAACACCAGUGGCGAAGGCGACUUUCUGGACUGUGUCUGACGCUGAGGCGCGAAAGCCAGGGGAGCGAACGGGAUUAGAUACCCCGGUAGUCCUGGCCGUAAACGAUGGGUACUAGGUGUGGGAGGUAUCGACCCCUUCCGUGCCGGAGUUAACGCAAUAAGUACCCCGCCUGGGGAGUACGGUCGCAAGACUGAAACUCAAAUGAAUUGACGGGGUCAUAGCUGUUUCCUG